GUGUCAAUUCAGGAACGGGAAAAAUGUCCGGAUAGUCCCUGUGGUUUUCUCCGUUUUCUCCUAUAGUCCCUACAUUUCUAACUACAGUUAUAGUCCCCAAUUUUUGCACAUUCGUUCUUGGAUAGUCCUUAAAGCGGAUAGAUGUUAGUUUUUGAUGUUAAAUAAGUGUGAAAUGACCGAUUUACCCUUAAUGUAAAACAAAAUAAAUUAAUUAAGUUAUAUAUAUAUAUAUAUAUAUGGGACCCACUUCUUAUAAUAUUAUAUAUCACAUACAUACAAUACCAGACAAAUCUCUCUCUCUACUCUCUCUCCUUUAAAAAACACAACCACCUCCACCGUCGCCAUCACCACUCAGUCGCCACCAUCACCACUGCCACAACCACCCCUCGCCACAACCAUCACCGCCGCCAUCAUCACCACUGCCACAACCACCACCGCCAUCAUCACCACUGCCACAACCACCACUACCACCACCAUCAUCACCACCUCCCCCAUUACCACCAGCGGCGCCAUCAUCACUACCAACAUCACCACUCUUUUGGCUUUAUCGCCGUGAAAAUCAGCUCCGGUGUAGGCCGCCGUGAAAAUCGACCCCAAUCCACCGUUUCAUCACCCCCACCCACUCACACCGCCGUGGAAAUCAGCUCUGGUGCAAGCCGUCUAGCUUCUAAUGUUGUUUCGAAUCAGAAACUUAAAACAAAUUGCAAUCGUUUGAAAUUACGAUUUUGAUUGGGUAGGGGUUAUUUGGUAGUAGUUAUUUAAUAGUGGGUGUUUGAAGGCAAGAGAGACACGAGAAGAAAGAAGUAGAGAGAAAGAAAUAGAUAAGGGGGUGGGGUGGGGUUGUUUUUUUUAGUGGGUCCCGUAUAUAGAGAGAGAGAGAGAGUAGGAGUUGGCUAUAAAGCCUAUUUUUCCUACAAAGUGUAGGAAGCAAUCUCCUUAUGACAUGUGACAUCUAGUGUUUUUAAUUAAAGGGCAUUAAGGUAAUUGAAUAAUUAUAUUAUUUCUGGAAGAUUUUAUAUCAUAACAAUAAAAGGCUAUUUUUAUGGAAACUAUACGUCUAUUAAUUAUUCAAAAUAGGCAGUCACAUCCUUCACGAUUAAUUCAUCCGAAGUUCGAAACAUAAAACGAAUUCAUCAUUUUUUGACAUUGUGUUUUAUCAGUUUAAGGUUUUUUCAUAUCGUGUUAUAUCAAUUUUCACAAUUAAACACACCCCUCAUAUAUUUCAAAAUGUAAAACACAUUCAUUAUUUCUUGACGUUGUGUUUUAUCAGUUUCUGAUUUCUUCAUAUUGUGUUAUAUUAUUUUUCACAAUUAAACACACUUCUCACACAUAAAAUAUAAUAGUUUCUGAAAGGGAAAUUGGCAUGUAAUAAUCCCAUCUAGACUUUAUUGGCCAUUAAUAAUCCCACCUCAGAAUAUUCCCCCCACCAGUCCCACCUUUCACCUAUUUUUCCUACAAUGGUCCCCCGUUAAAAAAAUCUUAACAGAGUUAAGCUUUUUUCCAAAUUGCAAACAGAUUUUUUAGGGCUUUUGAUUUGAAUGACGAUACGAGUCCAUUGAUGAGCACAAGGGUUGGAGGGAAGCUUGUGCUCGAGAGAAUGAAAAACUUUUCCGUGUUCGCCAGGAGUUGAACAAUCUCAAGGCCGCGAAUGCUGCUUUGCUGAAGGAAAAGGCUGUAGCUGAAGCGGCUGCAAAAGAGGCGGAGGCACGCGGUGCCAAGGUGCUUGAAGAGGCGGAUGCCGACCGUAGUAAGCUGAACAAAGCUGUUGAGGACCUCAAGGUAGAAGUACAGAACCGGGUGACCAUCCUUGAAGAGGUCACUGCCCGCGCGAGUGAAGCUGAAGCGUGGGCAAGGGAAACUGCGGAGGCUAGGGAUAGUUUGACUACCUCCCUGAAUCAGCUUAAGGCAGAUCGUGAUUGGAUGCGUGAUCACGGUAUCGGGCAUAUUGUUGGAACCGUUCUUGACGCGCCUGAAAACGCAACCGCUGUUAAUGAGCUGUAGGAGUGUGCACGGCGGGCUGGGUUUAAGGCUGGUUACAACGAAUGCCUCAGCCAUGUGAACCCCUUCUACAAGAGCAGAUUUACUGAUGAGAGAUCUGGGUUCCAUGGCGUAGAUACUGAAGCUCUGUAUGCCGCAGCUGUUGACGCAUACAACAACUUGUCCCUUUCCGCCAUUGAAGAUAUUGAGAAAUGCUUAGAGGCGGAAGAUUACGUAGACCGUUUGCGGUUGUUGUAUGAACGUCCUGAGGAGGAGGAUGCCGCUGGUGGUGCAAAGGAGGAUGCGGGCACCGGUGGUACAAAAGAAGACUAGGUUGGCCUGCGUGCCCCUUUUGACUUCCUUUUUGAUGUAAAUGUUAGGAAAAAACUUAUGUAAAAUUUCUUAUGCACCGCAUCGGUGUAGAAAUUUUUUGGAAUAUAAAGUUUUCUCCUU
This 2430-nucleotide long non-coding RNA is filed under the name Helianthus annuus (common sunflower). RNAcentral describes it as "hypothetical non coding rna". Lineage: Eukaryota; Viridiplantae; Streptophyta; Magnoliopsida; Asterales; Asteraceae. The record is from RNAcentral.